GCGAACGGGUGAGUAACACGUGGGCAAUCUGCCCUUCACUCUGGGACAAGCCCUGGAAACGGGGUCUAAUACCGGAUAACACUCUGUCCCGCAUGGGACGGGGUUAAAAGCUCCGGCGGUGAAGGAUGAGCCCGCGGCCUAUCAGCUUGUUGGUGGGGUAAUGGCCUACCAAGGCGACGACGGGUAGCCGGCCUGAGAGGGCGACCGGCCACACUGGGACUGAGACACGGCCCAGACUCCUACGGGAGGCAGCAGUGGGGAAUAUUGCACAAUGGGCGAAAGCCUGAUGCAGCGACGCCGCGUGAGGGAUGACGGCCUUCGGGUUGUAAACCUCUUUCAGCAGGGAAGAAGCGAAAGUGACGGUACCUGCAGAAGAAGCGCCGGCUAACUACGUGCCAGCAGCCGCGGUAAUACGUAGGGCGCAAGCGUUGUCCGGAAUUAUUGGGCGUAAAGAGCUCGUAGGCGGCUUGUCACGUCGGAUGUGAAAGCCCGGGGCUUAACCCCGGGUCUGCAUUCGAUACGGGCUAGCUAGAGUGUGGUAGGGGAGAUCGGAAUUCCUGGUGUAGCGGUGAAAUGCGCAGAUAUCAGGAGGAACACCGGUGGCGAAGGCGGAUCUCUGGGCCAUUACUGACGCUGAGGAGCGAAAGCGUGGGGAGCGAACAGGAUUACAUACCCUGGUAGUCCACGCCGUAAACGUUGGGAACUAGGUGUUGGCGACAUUCCACGUCGUCGGUGCCGCAGCUAACGCAUUAAGUUUCCCCGCCUGGGGAGUA
This 773-nucleotide ribosomal RNA is filed under the name Streptomyces sp. RNAcentral's name for it is "bacterial SSU rRNA". It matches the Rfam family "Bacterial small subunit ribosomal RNA", at positions 98 to 882 of the family's 1533-position model. The record is from RNAcentral. Lineage: Bacteria; Bacillati; Actinomycetota; Actinomycetes; Kitasatosporales; Streptomycetaceae.